GACGAACGCUGGCGGCGUGCUUAACACAUGCAAGUCGAACGGAAAGGCCCUGCUUUUGUGGGGUGCUCGAGUGGCGAACGGGUGAGUAACACGUGAGUAACCUGCCCUUGACUUUGGGAUAACUUCAGGAAACUGGGGCUAAUACCGGAUAGGAGCUCCUGCUGCAUGGUGGGGGUUGGAAAGUUUCGGCGUUUGUGGAUGGACUCGCGGCUUAUCAGCUUGUUGGUGGGGUAGUGGCGUACCAAGGCUUUGACGGGUAGCCGGCCUGAGAGGGUGACCGGCCACAUUGGUACUGAGGUACGGCCCAGACUCCUACGGGAGGCAGCAGUGGGGAAUAUUGCACAAUGGGCGGAGGUCUGAUGCAGCAACGCCGCGUGCGGGAUGACGGCCUUCGGGUUGUAAACCGCUUUCGCCUGUGACGAAGAGUGAGUGACGGUAAUGGGUAAAGAAGCACCGGCUAACUACGUG
This 468-nucleotide ribosomal RNA is filed under the name uncultured bacterium. RNAcentral's name for it is "partial 16S ribosomal RNA". It matches the Rfam family "Bacterial small subunit ribosomal RNA", at positions 28 to 507 of the family's 1533-position model. The record is from RNAcentral.